UGUGUGUGUGUGUGUGUGUGUGUGCGUGUCUGCGAGGGUGCACACGCACACACACACACACACAUACACAGC
This 72-nucleotide microRNA precursor is filed under the name Marmota monax (woodchuck). The record is from RNAcentral. Lineage: Eukaryota; Metazoa; Chordata; Mammalia; Rodentia; Sciuridae.